Molecule: long non-coding RNA, 3294 nt
Organism: Passer domesticus (house sparrow)
Lineage: Eukaryota; Metazoa; Chordata; Aves; Passeriformes; Passeridae
Exons: 2
Source: RefSeq, a predicted model, not a curated record
GUGUGCCAGAGGAGCCGCGGUGUGCCAGGGGAGCCCUGGUGUGCCAGAGGAGCCCUGGUGUGCCAGGGGAGCCGCCGCCGUGGCUUACGGGCAUGCACUUCCAGUCUCGGAAUCACAGAAUCACUUAGGCUCGAGAAGCCCUCUGAGGACAUUAAGUCCAAACUGUGGCUAAACAUCACCAUGUCAGCUAGACCAGGAAACUGAAUUCCACGUCCAGUUUUUCAUUAAAAGUCUUUAGGGACAGUGACUCCACCACCUCCCUAGGCAGCCCAUCCAGUGUUUAAUCACUCUUUCUGUGGAGAAAUUAUUUCUAAUACUCAACCUGAACCUCCCCUGGUGCAGUUCAAGAUUAUAUCCUCUUGUCUUGUCACUAUUGCCUGGCAGAAGAGGCCAAACCCUACCUGCUACAAACUCCUUUUGCCUAGUUGUAGAGAAGGAUAAGAUCACUCCUGAGCCUCUUGUCCAAAACAACCCCGGCUUCCUUGGCCGCUCCUCAUGGGACUUCACCUUCUGGACCCUUCACCUAUGAUGCUGAUGAUCACCAAUGACACUGAUGAAAUCCCAGUGACCCCAGGCUGGGGUUGUGUGGGGUUCAGGGUGGCCCCAAAUCUGUCUCCUGCUGCCACCAUGAGUGGUUCUGAGGUGGAACACACGGCGGGAAGACUCAGGACAUGAGGGGAGGCAAAUGCCAAAAGCAGAGUGGUGGGACCAUCGUAGAGUCAGUGGGGCUCUGUGGCAUCCAAACACUGAGACUGUGACACAGGAACUUUUUUUUUUUUUUUAAUUUUUUUGAUGGGGGUGUGUGUGAUUUUUUGUUCCUUUUUAAAUGAUUUUUAUUUUAGCAUAUGAUCCUUUCUGAUGCUCCUUGCCGUAGAACAGUCCUGCUGAGUGCUCCUCUCAGGAUCAACAUUCAAGUGCUGUAUGCAGCUCCACCGAGACUGACACAGGUGUUGUGGGUAAAUCUGCCCGCAGAGAAGGGAGGAACAGCGUUUGGGAAGCAGUAUCAUCUGGCAGAUGUCUCAACAGACAUAAUUAUAAGUGAGCUAACUCACAGAGUUCUUUUGGUCUGUAUUUGUACAAAGUCCAGAAUGCUUCAGGUAGAUGCGUUAAGCUGAGAGGACAUCAUCUCUUGCACUUCCAAAGUUGCUUGAACUGUUAAUGAUUACCACUGGAACAGCAGGAGAAGUGCAUGCCAGGAAUUGACCUUCUUGCUUUACCUGAGAACAUGUAGAGGGAUCUCAGAAGGUAAAAAUUACAUUCUGGAAACAGCUGUGUUGAUCUGAAUUCCAGCCUUUUUAUGUAUUCCAGGAAUCUGCACCUCAGAGCACGACCCUGCUUUUGGAGUUUGCAGUUUGUGAUUUCACGGUGUGGUUGGGAACGUGGUAGUUGGAAGAAUAUUGGAAAAGAUUUGUAUACAGAGAUUUGUAAAUAGUCAUGGAUAUUUUGGGAAACUGUCCCAUUCUGAGGAGGGGCUUCUGAGCUGACUGCAGUAAUCACAGCCAUGCUUUGACCUUGUACUCCCAUCUUAGAGCUGGGGAUUGCAGCCAGGUACAUGGCUUCUGUUAAGGAAAUAGAUGUGUGUGUACUUCUGCAAAUCCAAAAUUCCGAAAGGGUAAUACCAGUGUCCAGUUAUAGAAACAGCUUUUAGGAAAUGAAUGAUUUAUUAUCUCAUGUUAAAUCAGCUUUGUAAAAGUACUUUCCCAACAAUUUUUAAAAGAAUGAAUUUUUAGAAGUGUUAAUUAAUUUUGAUCAUCUCUGUUCUGGAGUUCCUGUGUUCCUUUUGGCAUACCAAAUAUCACAUUUCACAGACUGCCUGUUGGUUGUGUUCAGCUGUAGGGCUUGACAACAGCUAACUGUGGGCACUUACAGUCCAUAGAUAAUUAAACAAUUUCAUCAUUGCUCUCCUUUUCCCUGAGGUACUUUACCUCUUCAGUAUGAGCAAUAGCAAUACAUGUCACAGUAUGUGCAUAUGUGUGCUUAAUGCUGUACUCUUUGCUUGCUUUCUUUACUAGGAGGUGACCAGGCAGGGUUUGGAUUCUCUUACAAAGUGCAGUUUUUAUUUGAGAUGAAGAAUGCUGCAGAGUUUUGGGUCUUUUUUUUUUUUUUUUUUACCACAUGAAAAAUUUAGCUGCAUGAGAAACGUAAUAUGGCAGAGUAUAAUUUACAGAAACACUUGUCCAAAAGAUUAUUUGAAAGCAUAAUGCAGGAUAUACAUGAUGCACCAAAAAAACUACAGCAUCAACGUGACAUACCAUCAGGUUUGUUUUUCUUGUGAGAAAGAAUAAAGAAUUAUCCUACUUAACUUUUAUUUUUGUAGUUUCUGUUCAGCUGGGCUGCAAAUUGAAGUUUGUGUUUGAUGGGAGCUGCUCUAAUGUACAGGAUUCAUGUCUCAUUGUUAGUGAUACCAUUAACUUAGAUUUACUCUUCAAACUUUUGCCAAUUACCUCUGGAUGGCAGUAGAUGUAGUUACAAGAUGAUUGAAUCAAUUCAUGAGCCUGCUGUGAGGAUUGUUAUGAAGAACACUUUUAUCAGGCAAACUCAAAGUGCUGAUAAUUUUGGAAAAUAGUAGAAAGUGCCCUUAAAAUAUCCACACUAUCUCUGAAUAAUUCCCUUCCACUGACUUUGUUCAGUACAUUUUGAAGUAAAAAUCUGUGCUGUAGGAUUUUUUUUCUAAACGGGAGAAGCUGUUUGCUCACUGAAGCUAUAUAAAGUACAACAGUUUAUGGACCCAAUUCUGCUUCCUGAUAACUUUUUUUUACCCCUGUAACGUACAUUUCAUGUAUUUCAGCAUGUAUCCUAUUUCCUGGUACAUAUAAUUGCUUUUUCAGUCCAAAUAACAAAACACAGGAAUGCAAAUUUGGCUAAACAGACUCUUUCCUAGUCACUAGUCCAUAUAAUGUAAAAAAACUGUCUGUAAGGAAUAAUAAAAAAAACCUACAAAGAUUUAAUGCACCCUGUUUUAUAAAAUGUGCAAGUUGACUUCAGCAGUAUAACAAAAAUACAUUUGGUAGUCAGAGCUUUUCCUAUUACAAGAAUUAUAUUACUCAUUACAAAUAAUGGGGCAUUUCUUCUCAUGGUUUCACCACUGAAAGGCCUUACUAGGAACAUCAUAGGAGACAUGCUUAGUUCUAAACAAGUUAUGUUGAUGGGGAUUAUAUUAUCUGUGCUCACACACUUCAAAACAUUUCUGGCUGGUUUGUAAAUGAGGAGGUUUAAAUUUCCUGUCCAAAUACUUCAUGUGAUUACAGCAGAAUGCUGUAUUUAUGGGAAAAAAAAAAAACAAAAAACCAAAAA